GGGUUGUGAGGUUAAGCGACUAAGCGUACACGGUGGAUGCCCUGGCAGUCAGAGGCGAUGAAGGACGUGCUAAUCUGCGAUAAGCGUCGGUGAGGUGAUAUGAACCGUUAUAACCGGCGAUUUCCGAAUGGGGAAACCCAGUGUGUUUCGACACACUAUCAUUAACUGAAUCCAUAGGUUAAUGAGGCGAACCGGGGGAACUGAAACAUCUAAGUACCCCGAGGAAAAGAAAUCAACCGAGAUUCCCCCAGUAGCGGCGAGCGAACGGGGAGGAGCCCAGAGCCUGAAUCAGUGUGUGUGUUAGUGGAAGCGUCUGGAAAGGCGCGCGAUACAGGGUGACAGCCCCGUACACAAAAAUGCACAUACUGUGAGCUCGAUGAGUAGGGCGGGACACGUGGUAUCCUGUCUGAAUAUGGGGGGACCAUCCUCCAAGGCUAAAUACUCCUGACUGACCGAUAGUGAACCAGUACCGUGAGGGAAAGGCGAAAAGAACCCCGGCGAGGGGAGUGAAAAAGAACCUGAAACCGUGUACGUACAAGCAGUGGGAGCCUCUUAAUGGGGUGACUGCGUACCUUUUGUAUAAUGGGUCAGCGACUUAUAUUCUGUAGCAAGGUUAACCGAAUAGGGGAGCCGAAGGGAAACCGAGUCUUAACUGGGCGUUAAGUUGCAGGGUAUAGACCCGAAACCCGGUGAUCUAGCCAUGGGCAGGUUGAAGGUUGGGUAACACUAACUGGAGGACCGAACCGACUAAUGUUGAAAAAUUAGCGGAUGACUUGUGGCUGGGGGUGAAAGGCCAAUCAAACCGGGAGAUAGCUGGUUCUCCCCGAAAGCUAUUUAGGUAGCGCCUCGUGAAUUCAUCUCCGGGGGUAGAGCACUGUUUCGGCAAGGGGGUCAUCCCGACUUACCAACCCGAUGCAAACUGCGAAUACCGGAGAAUGUUAUCACGGGAGACACACGGCGGGUGCUAACGUCCGUCGUGAAGAGGGAAACAACCCAGACCGCCAGCUAAGGUCCCAAAGUCAUGGUUAAGUGGGAAACGAUGUGGGAAGGCCCAGACAGCCAGGAUGUUGGCUUAGAAGCAGCCAUCAUUUAAAGAAAGCGUAAUAGCUCACUGGUCGAGUCGGCCUGCGCGGAAGAUGUAACGGGGCUAAACCAUGCACCGAAGCUGCGGCAGCGACACUAUGUGUUGUUGGGUAGGGGAGCGUUCUGUAAGCCUGUGAAGGUGGCCUGUGAGGGUUGCUGGAGGUAUCAGAAGUGCGAAUGCUGACAUAAGUAACGAUAAAGCGGGUGAAAAGCCCGCUCGCCGGAAGACCAAGGGUUCCUGUCCAACGUUAAUCGGGGCAGGGUGAGUCGACCCCUAAGGCGAGGCCGAAAGGCGUAGUCGAUGGGAAACAGGUUAAUAUUCCUGUACUUGGUGUUACUGCGAAGGGGGGACGGAGAAGGCUAUGUUGGCCGGGCGACGGUUGUCCCGGUUUAAGCGUGUAGGCUGGUUUUCCAGGCAAAUCCGGAAAACCAAGGCUGAGGCGUGAUGACGAGGCACUACGGUGCUGAAGCGACAAAUGCCCUGCUUCCAGGAAAAGCCUCUAAGCAUCAGGUAACAUCAAAUCGUACCCCAAACCGACACAGGUGGUCAGGUAGAGAAUACCAAGGCGCUUGAGAGAACUCGGGUGAAGGAACUAGGCAAAAUGGUGCCGUAACUUCGGGAGAAGGCACGCUGAUAUGUAGGUGAAGCGACUUGCUCGUGGAGCUGAAAUCAGUCGAAGAUACCAGCUGGCUGCAACUGUUUAUUAAAAACACAGCACUGUGCAAACACGAAAGUGGACGUAUACGGUGUGACGCCUGCCCGGUGCCGGAAGGUUAAUUGAUGGGGUUAGCGGUAACGCGAAGCUCUUGAUCGAAGCCCCGGUAAACGGCGGCCGUAACUAUAACGGUCCUAAGGUAGCGAAAUUCCUUGUCGGGUAAGUUCCGACCUGCACGAAUGGCGUAAUGAUGGCCAGGCUGUCUCCACCCGAGACUCAGUGAAAUUGAACUCGCUGUGAAGAUGCAGUGUACCCGCGGCAAGACGGAAAGACCCCGUGAACCUUUACUAUAGCUUGACACUGAACAUUGAGCCUUGAUGUGUAGGAUAGGUGGGAGGCUUUGAAGUGUGGACGCCAGUCUGCAUGGAGCCGACCUUGAAAUACCACCCUUUAAUGUUUGAUGUUCUAACGUUGGCCCGUAAUCCGGGUUGCGGACAGUGUCUGGUGGGUAGUUUGACUGGGGCGGUCUCCUCCUAAAGAGUAACGGAGGAGCACGAAGGUUGGCUAAUCCUGGUCGGACAUCAGGAGGUUAGUGCAAUGGCAUAAGCCAGCUUGACUGCGAGCGUGACGGCGCGAGCAGGUGCGAAAGCAGGUCAUAGUGAUCCGGUGGUUCUGAAUGGAAGGGCCAUCGCUCAACGGAUAAAAGGUACUCCGGGGAUAACAGGCUGAUACCGCCCAAGAGUUCAUAUCGACGGCGGUGUUUGGCACCUCGAUGUCGGCUCAUCACAUCCUGGGGCUGAAGUAGGUCCCAAGGGUAUGGCUGUUCGCCAUUUAAAGUGGUACGCGAGCUGGGUUUAGAACGUCGUGAGACAGUUCGGUCCCUAUCUGCCGUGGGCGCUGGAGAACUGAGGGGGGCUGCUCCUAGUACGAGAGGACCGGAGUGGACGCAUCACUGGUGUUCGGGUUGUCAUGCCAAUGGCACUGCCCGGUAGCUAAAUGCGGAAGAGAUAAGUGCUGAAAGCAUCUAAGCACGAAACUUGCCCCGAGAUGAGUUCUCCCUGACUCCUUGAGAGUCCUGAAGGAACGUUGAAGACGACGACGUUGAUAGGCCGGGUGUGUAAGCGCAGCGAUGCGUUGAGCUAACCGGUACUAAUGAACCGUGAGGCUUAACCUUACAACGCCGAAG
This 2925-nucleotide ribosomal RNA is filed under the name Escherichia coli. RNAcentral describes it as "bacterial LSU rRNA". It matches the Rfam family "Bacterial large subunit ribosomal RNA". The record is from RNAcentral. Lineage: Bacteria; Pseudomonadati; Pseudomonadota; Gammaproteobacteria; Enterobacterales; Enterobacteriaceae.